AAGCAUGUUCACACUGCUGUGUGCUUGUGGAGGCCAGAAGACAACUUUGUGGAGCAGGUUCUUGCUUUCUAUUGUGGGCUGUGAGGAUCAAACUCAGGCUGGAAGGCUGACUCAGCAAGUGCUUUAUACCUGCUGAGUCACUUCACUGGCCCAAAGCCAAUUACUUUUUUUGUUGUUGUUGUUUAUUUUUCUAGACAGGGUCUCAUUAUAUAGCUCUGACUCUGACUGUCCUGGAACUCAUGUAGAAUAGACUUGCCUCAGAGAUUCACUGGCUUCUGCCUCCCAAGUGCACUGCUGCCCCUGGCUCUUCCCAUUUACUUCUAAAAAGACUGAAAAUAGUAAGAAAAAGGAAAAAAAAAUGUGGUUCAUUACUUUGUGUAAAUCUAGUUUUCAUAUGGUAUCACAUUCCCUCUGCCCACAGAGCUUUGAUUAUCAUUUCUUUUAUGUACAUGUGUUAUAGACAAUGUGUCUGUCCUCUUCAGUUUUUGCUGGUCUGAAAAGUUUAAGAACAGUAGCUUAUGUAUCCUAGAUGUCCUCCAAGGAUGGCCUUGGCCUCCCGACCCUCCUGCCUGAACCUCUUGAGUGUUGGGAUUAUAGUACAGGAGUGUACUCUUGGUUUAUGUGAUACUAGGGAUCAAUCCAGAGACUCACAGGGCUAGAAUGUCUAGCUACUAAAACUGAACUAAAGCUUUAGUUCCUGUUGGGAAAGUUUUCAGAGCCAGAGUGACUGCGUGCCUGUAAUCCUAGCUUGUGGGAGACUGAGGCAGGAAAAUGAUUGUAAAUUUAAGAUCAGCAUGACUAGCUGGGGAGUUCGAGGACAGCCUGGUCUACAAAGUGAGUUCCAGGACAGCCAGGGCUAUACAGAGAAACCCUGUCU
RNAcentral lists this long non-coding RNA (877 nucleotides) under Mus pahari (shrew mouse). RNAcentral's name for it is "predicted gene 43774 (MGP_PahariEiJ_G0032982.1)". The record is from RNAcentral. Lineage: Eukaryota; Metazoa; Chordata; Mammalia; Rodentia; Muridae.